This 253-nucleotide ribosomal RNA is filed under the name uncultured bacterium. RNAcentral's name for it is "partial 16S ribosomal RNA". It matches the Rfam family "Bacterial small subunit ribosomal RNA", at positions 524 to 776 of the family's 1533-position model. The record is from RNAcentral.
UACGGAGGGGGCUAGCGUUGUUCGGAAUUACUGGGCGUAAAGCGCACGUAGGCGGCUUUGUAAGUUAGAGGUGAAAGCCCGGGGCUCAACUCCGGAAUUGCCUUUAAGACUGCAUCGCUCGAGUUGUGGAGAGGUAAGUGGAAUUCCGAGUGUAGAGGUGAAAUUCGUAGAUAUUCGGAAGAACACCAGUGGCGAAGGCGACUUACUGGACACAUACUGACGCUGAGGUGCGAAAGCGUGGGGAGCGAACAGG